GGCGGCUAGGAAGGCCCGCGGGGAAUCCGGGGCGGUCCCGCCAGUCGGGCCUGGAUCCGCGUUGGCCCGCGGGCUCGGGUGAGCCCGCUCAAACGCCCCGGGAGCCACCGCCGCCUCCUCAGCGCCAGUCCUCAGCGCUGAAAAGACUCUUCCCUUCGUCGCCCAACCGCCCCUUCAGUAGGGACCGCCCCUCUUUUUGACACUGUCCAAUCCACAGUGGGCGCUUUCGUCCUCCCCGCCCUCGCCACCAAAGGAUCGUUCUCCAGGGCCAACAGUCGUACAAAAAGCCGGUGUAGGUAUGUCCGGCCAGAGGUAGACGGCCCGCGGGGCCAAUCGGAGUGCAGGCAGGGCAGCAGGCCCCGCCUCCGAAACAACAGAAAGCACUUGACAGGCUUGCUCUCCAAUGAGAAGCCCCGGAAAAGUGUCGCGCGGAGGCGGAGCCACGCGGUACAGCCACCUCUGCGCCUGCUCAAAGGCCCUGGACACUUGGAGUCUAGACACCCGAGUUCAGAGCCAGCCUCCAAGAGUAUCUUACAUCCCAGCGUCUCCUGGAAGGCCGUAUGAUCCAGCACUGGGGAGAGGAGGGAAAUCCCCAGGACUCGAAUGCCCAUCCCACCCUUGGUGUAGUGAGGACUCAUCCUGCUGGAAAGGCCCCUGAAGAACUUCAAGUUCCAAUAUCCCGUUUUUACAGAUGGGGAAACUGACAUGAAGAGGAGUCCAAAGUGACACAGUCAGGCCAGAAAUGUUGCUUCUGAAGUCCUGAGUCCACCUCCUAGCACUGCCAAGCAGUCCACCUGGAGGUGAUGAGAACUUCCAGGCUUUGGUAAUGGACAACUCUGUAUCCCUGGAGCCUUCAUUCCUUUUGGCAUUACAGAACCACAAGAAGUCAUCUAGAAUCAUUGAGAUUCUCAACUCCAUUGGGCAAACUGGAACCAGCAAAAUCUCAGAUAUCUAGAAUUGCCACUGCUUCCUUGACUCUGUGAUCAGUCUACAGCCACAGAAUCCUGAUUCCCUUUGGACAUUCUAGAAUGGCACUUUAAAAAAAAACAACCCACCCAGUGGAUCCUUUCAAAGCACUGCUUAUUCUCUUGGCUGGGUGCUCUACAGCCAGAAGUUGGAGUUAUCUAAUAUCAAGAACUCUUAAUCUGUCACUUCAGUCUUUCUAAACCCACAGACUAACAAUGUUUUGUGCAUUCUA
RNAcentral lists this long non-coding RNA (1198 nucleotides) under Homo sapiens (human). RNAcentral describes it as "HSALNT0398392". Lineage: Eukaryota; Metazoa; Chordata; Mammalia; Primates; Hominidae. The record is from RNAcentral.